Molecule: ribosomal RNA, 758 nt
Filed under: Coslenchus acceptus
Lineage: Eukaryota; Metazoa; Nematoda; Chromadorea; Rhabditida; Tylenchidae
Description: SSU rRNA
Rfam family: Eukaryotic small subunit ribosomal RNA
Source: RNAcentral
AACAAAACCAAGCGGCUUCGGUCGUUUUUUGUUGACUCACAAUAACUAAGCUGAUCGCAUGGUCUUGUACCGGCGACGUGUCUUUCAAGUAUCUGCCUUAUCAACUUUCGAUGGUAGUGUAUCUGACUACCAUGGUUGUGACGGGUAACGGAGGAUAAGGGUUCGACUCCGGAGAAGGGGCCUGAGAAAUGGCCACUACGUCUAAGGAUGGCAGCAGGCGCGCAAAUUACCCACUCUCAGAACGAGGAGGUAGUGACGAAAAAUAACGAGGCCGUUCUCUAUGAGGCCGGUCAUCGGAAUGGGUACAAUCUAAACCCUUUAACGAGUAUCUAUGAGAGGGCAAGUCUGGUGCCAGCAGCCGCGGUAAUUCCAGCUCUCAAAAUGCAUAGAAUUAUUGCUGCGGUUAAAAAGCUCGUAGUUGGAUCUGUGCCAGGAGAGCGGUCCACUUUCGGGUGGUACUGCUACGACUGGCUUUUUGCUGGUUUUCUCGUCGUAGUCUUAACCGAUUGCGGCGGGUGGCUGGCGAUUUUACUUUGAACAAAUCAGAGUGCUUAACACAGGCGUUUCGCUUGAAUGUUCUUGCAUGGAAUAAUAGAAAAGGAUUUCGGUUCUAUUUUAUUGGUUUUAUAGACUGAGAUAAUGGUUAACAGAGACAAACGGGGGCAUUCGUAUUGCUGCGUGAGAGGUGAAAUUCUUGGACCGCAGCAAGACGAACUACAGCGAAAGCAUUUGCCAAGAAUCUCUUCAUUAAUCAAGAA